Molecule: ribosomal RNA, 460 nt
Filed under: uncultured bacterium
Lineage: Bacteria
Description: partial 16S ribosomal RNA
Rfam family: Bacterial small subunit ribosomal RNA
Source: RNAcentral
CCUACGGGAGGCAGCAGGGAGGAAUAUUGGUCAAUGGCCGUAAGGCUGAACCAGCCAAGUAGCGUGAGGGAAGACUGCCCUAUGGGUGGUAAACCGCUGUUAUGCGGGGAGAAAGGGGUCCACGUGGGGAUGUUUGCAGGUACCGCAUGAAUAAGGACCGGCUAAUUCCGUGCCAGCAGCCGCGGUAAUACGGAAGGUCCGGGCGUUAUCCGGAUUUAUUGGGUUUAAAGGGAGCGUAGGCCGGUCUUUAAGCGUGCCGUGAAAUUUUGUGGCUCAACCAUGAGAGUGCGGCGCGAACUGGCGACCUUGAGUGCGCGGCAGGCCGGCGGAAUUCGUGGUGUAGCGGUGACCUGCUUAGCUAUCACGAAGAACCCCGAUUGCGAAGGCAGCCUGCCGCAGCGUUCCUGCCGCUGAGGCUCGAAAGCGCGGGUAUCGAACAGGAUUAGAUACCCUAGUAGUC